UUAAACCUCUCCAUGUGGAACCUUGUUGGUUUGGCCUGUUCUGUCUGAACGCGAGCCGAGAUUAUACCCCAACAAUCACUACUGAAGUUAACUAUACCAUCUUCAUUUCCUUUGCAUUGCAUAUAAAUAAGAUGCUGAUUUCAUACUUUUUUUUAUUAGAAACCCCAGUCUGUUGGUGGAGAGGUUCCCGUCUGAUACUAAGUAGCUAGAUGACUUUAAGGAAAGUAUUUCAUGGCUCUGUGCCUUGAUUUCUUCAUCUAUAAAAUGAGUUGUAGCAAUACCCACUAGUAGACAUCACUAAUGGGAAGGUAGCUUGUGGAAAUAAAUCAUGAGUGGUGGGAUGGUGACGACACUGAUGAUGACUAUAACGUGACUGUGUAGCCUGUGUAGUUGGUCAGGUAUUUAGAAGGAUUUAGAAGGAUUGCCAAUCUCAGCAUCAGACCUUUUUAUUUCUCAAACACUGAGCUGCCUUUUUAACUCCCUGAGUCAUGUUUGACUCACAGCUAGAUUUUAUAUGUUGCUUCCUGGUUGUUAGGGGCUAGAAUCUGUCUUAAACUACUAGAUUUUCUGUGGUCACUGUUAGAGCUCCCCAUAGCCACCCCCACCCCAUCCAUCCAGUGUGAACCGGUCAUCUGUUAGAGCCUCAGGAAAGUCCAUGGAGAGCCGACUAGAUUUCCAUGGAUACAAGCAAACCUUUUGUCCUGCCGUUUACAUUUCUCUUGAGCAAUCAACUUCGAUUGACAGGAUGCCUGCUAACCUCCUCCUCCCCCUCCUAACUCUUCCACAAAGGGUGCUGAGGCAUAAAAACUCUGGAAACCGGAAUGGCCUGUGAAGUGAAACAGCUCCUGAGCAGAAAGUAUCUUGUGUCAUGAGUCUACGGAUCCAGGGCAGAAAGAAAAAUGAUCAACGCUGCAUCCUGAAAACACACGCUUUCCAUUUUUAUCUCCUUCCGGUUUUUAUCCAUGUAUAGUACCAAUAGCUGUUAAAUCAAAUUUUUACUGCUGUCAAGUGUCCAGCAGACUUGCUAGGAAGUCCAGUGACAUCAGAAUAAAGGCACAGGCUUUGCUGCUAGUCUCUGUGACUUCAGGACUAAAUAAUUGGCCUCUUUUCCUAUCAUAAAUAAAUACUUGGCUUCAGAAGUAGUAAUGAUUUGACAAAUAAUCUUUUCUCUGAAAAUAGUUUUCAAAAUUCAUAUGUCAACAAUUUGAUUACAGAUCAGACAUGAAAAGCUCUUUCACAUCACGUGUGUGUAGGUUUGAGACUGACCAGAUCCAGGGAGCUGAGCACUUGCCCUUGGGAUUUUUGGUGCAGUAGGGGCUCCUCCAUGUAAUCUGAGGGCCUGAGCAAUUUGUAAACCUUAUCACUAUGGACUACAUUAAUACUUCUAAAGUAAAGUACACGUUGAAAA
Rattus norvegicus (Norway rat) is the source of this 1408-nucleotide non-coding RNA. The record is from RefSeq and is a predicted model, not a curated record. Lineage: Eukaryota; Metazoa; Chordata; Mammalia; Rodentia; Muridae.